CGCACGGUAAACGAUGGAUGCCCGCUGUUGGUCUGAAUAGGUCAGCGGCCAAGCGAAAGCAUUAAGCAUCCCACCUGGGGAGUACGCCGGCAACGGUGAAACUCAAAGGAAUUGACGGGGGCCCGCACAAGCGGAGGAACAUGUGGUUUAAUUCGAUGAUACGCGAGGAACCUUACCCGGGCUUGAAUUGCAGAGGAAGGAUUUGGAGACAAUGACGCCCUUCGGGGUCUCUGUGAAGGUGC
RNAcentral lists this ribosomal RNA (242 nucleotides) under uncultured Prevotella sp. Its description in RNAcentral is "partial 16S ribosomal RNA". It matches the Rfam family "Bacterial small subunit ribosomal RNA", at positions 796 to 1041 of the family's 1533-position model. Lineage: Bacteria; Pseudomonadati; Bacteroidota; Bacteroidia; Bacteroidales; Prevotellaceae. The record is from RNAcentral.